CAAACGGCUCUUUUCAGAGCCACCCAAAUAUUAACAAAGGAACACU
Harpegnathos saltator (Jerdon's jumping ant) is the source of this 46-nucleotide non-coding RNA. The record is from Rfam. Lineage: Eukaryota; Metazoa; Arthropoda; Insecta; Hymenoptera; Formicidae.